UACGGAGGGUGCAAGCGUUAUCCGGAUUUAUUGGGCUUAAAGGGUCCGUAGGCGGACUCGUAAGUCAGUGGUGAAAUCUCACAGCUUAACUGUGAAACUGCCAUUAAUACUGCGGGUCUUGAGUGUUGUUGAAGUAGCUGGAAUAAGUAGUGUAGCGGUGAAAUGCAUAGAUAUUACUUAGAACACCAAUUGCGAAGGCAGGUUACUAAACAGCAACUGACGCUGAUGGACGAAAGCGUGGGGAGCGAACAGG
RNAcentral lists this ribosomal RNA (253 nucleotides) under uncultured bacterium. RNAcentral describes it as "partial 16S ribosomal RNA". It matches the Rfam family "Bacterial small subunit ribosomal RNA", at positions 524 to 776 of the family's 1533-position model. The record is from RNAcentral.